This 497-nucleotide ribosomal RNA is filed under the name uncultured Streptococcus sp. Its description in RNAcentral is "partial 16S ribosomal RNA". The record is from RNAcentral. Lineage: Bacteria; Bacillati; Bacillota; Bacilli; Lactobacillales; Streptococcaceae.
CACGUAGUUAGCCGUCCCUUUCUGGUAAGAUACCGUCACAGUGUGAACUUUCCACUCUCACACUCGUUCUUCUCUUACAACAGAGCUUUACGAUCCGAAAACCUUCUUCACUCACGCGGCGUUGCUCGGUCAGACUUCCGUCCAUUGCCGAAGAUUCCCUACUGCCGCCUCCCGUAGGAGUCUGGGCCGUGUCUCAGUCCCAGUGUGGCCGAUCACCCUCUCAGGUCGGCUAUGUAUCGUCGCCUUGGUGAGCCGUUACCCCACCAACUAGCUAAUACAACGCAGGUCCAUCUGGUAGUGAUGCAAUUGCACCUUUUAAGCAAAUGUCAUGCAACAUCUACUCUUAUGCGGUAUUAGCUAUCGUUUCCAAUAGUUAUCCCCCGCUUACCAGGCAGGUUACCUACGCGUUACUCACCGUUCGCAACUCAUCCAGAGAGCAAGCUCCUCCUUCAGCGUUCUACUUGCAUGUAUUAGGCACGCCGCCAGCGUCGUCCUCG